GGAAAGGUGGCAGAGUGGUUGAAUGCAUCAGUUUUGAAAACUGUCGUAGCAUUAGAGCUAUCGGGGGUUCGAAUCCCCCCCUUUCCU
This 87-nucleotide transfer RNA is filed under the name Rhipiliopsis peltata. RNAcentral's name for it is "tRNA-Ser". It matches the Rfam family "tRNA". From Rfam's summary of the family: Transfer RNA (tRNA) molecules are approximately 80 nucleotides in length. Their secondary structure includes four short double-helical elements and three loops (D, anti-codon, and T loops). The record is from RNAcentral. Lineage: Eukaryota; Viridiplantae; Chlorophyta; Ulvophyceae; Bryopsidales; Halimedaceae.